This is a small nucleolar RNA of Anoplopoma fimbria (sablefish), 126 nucleotides long. RefSeq annotates it as small nucleolar RNA SNORA71. NCBI's taxonomy places the organism in Eukaryota, Metazoa, Chordata, Actinopteri, Perciformes, Anoplopomatidae. The transcript has a single exon. The record is from RefSeq and is a predicted model, not a curated record.
UCCUGUAUCGAAAGUGGUCAUGACGUCCUCGUCGUCAGGUCAUUGAUAGUACAGGAAGAUCAGCCUGAGAGCCUUUCCCGUGUUUGAAGGAUCCUUGUUCCUAUCAGACCCUGAUGCUCUCAGACA